This is a long non-coding RNA of Chiroxiphia lanceolata (lance-tailed manakin), 677 nucleotides long. RefSeq lists it as uncharacterized. The transcript is spliced from 3 exons. Lineage: Eukaryota; Metazoa; Chordata; Aves; Passeriformes; Pipridae. The record is from RefSeq and is a predicted model, not a curated record.
GUGGCAUUUCCAGCGCGUUUGGUCACAAAAGCUCCGGAUUGAAUGGCUUAGCAUCCCUCUCUGCCUCUCCUUGCAUCACAAAGCUCAGAAGCGCCAUUUGAAGUUUCAAAAGGAAUGUUUUUUUGUGAAUGAGAUAAUCAGCGCCGACUAAUCUGCCACGCGCCCCUCCUUGUAAUCCACACACCUCCAGCUGAGGGAACAAAACCGGGUCCAGCUAAUCCCGCGGGGUCCUGCCUUGAAGCUGUUGCACGGCCCCUGUGGCAGGAGAGGAGGAUUGAGCCACGAGGCACGUCUGGGUCCCCACAAUGAUGGGACAGAGGUGACCCCAUUGAGCAGCCACGCAGGAUCCAUGUGGGAAAGCUCCUGCUACCACGAGCCCCAGAGCUCUGAGCCCUGCAGGUGGGACAGGGAGGUGAAACCACUUCCCAGCCCAUAAAUGGUGCCAGGCUGCUGCGCUGAGAGUUGCAGGACCAGGGGGAAGGGAAAACCCUCGUGCUCAGAGUACCCGAGGAGAAGGGAGAGGAGCUGUGCUGGAGUCUGGGCUGCUCAUGCAUUUCACAUACAGAGCCACUGGAUCAAACAAACAGCAAAGCCCCAGGAGAAAUCCCAGAGGCCCUUAAAUCCCAUAUUUCCUCAUUGCUAUGGAAGAAGCAUGCGCUGCGCGGGGAAAGGUGAGC